This 454-nucleotide ribosomal RNA is filed under the name Bradyrhizobium sp. Its description in RNAcentral is "bacterial SSU rRNA". It matches the Rfam family "Bacterial small subunit ribosomal RNA", at positions 201 to 675 of the family's 1533-position model. Lineage: Bacteria; Pseudomonadati; Pseudomonadota; Alphaproteobacteria; Hyphomicrobiales; Nitrobacteraceae. The record is from RNAcentral.
GGAAAGAUUUAUCGCCGAAAGAUCGGCCCGCGUCUGAUUAGCUAGUUGGUGAGGUAAUGGCUCACCAAGGCGACGAUCAGUAGCUGGUCUGAGAGGAUGAUCAGCCACAUUGGGACUGAGACACGGCCCAAACUCCUACGGGAGGCAGCAGUGGGGAAUAUUGGACAAUGGGCGCAAGCCUGAUCCAGCCAUGCCGCGUGAGUGAUGAAGGCCCUAGGGUUGUAAAGCUCUUUUGUGCGGGAAGAUAAUGACGGUACCGCAAGAAUAAGCCCCGGCUAACUUCGUGCCAGCAGCCUCGGUAAUACGAAGGGGGCUAGCGUUGCUCGGAAUCACUGGGCGUAAAGGGUGCGUAGGCGGGUCUUUAAGUCAGGGGUGAAAUCCUGGAGCUCAACUCCAGAACUGCCUUUGAUACUGAAGAUCUUGAGUUCGGGAGAGGUGAGUGGAACUGCGAGUG